UCGCGUCUGAUUAGAUAGUUGGUGAGGUAACGGCUCACCAAGUCGACGAUCAGUAGCCGGACUGAGAGGUUGAACGGCCACAUUGGGACUGAGAUACGGCCCAGACUCCUACGGGAGGCAGCAGUGGGGAAUAUUGCACAAUGGGGGAAACCCUGAUGCAGCAACGCCGCGUGAAGGAAGACGGUUUUCGGAUUGUAAACUUCUUUUCUUAGUGAAGAAGAAAGUGACGGUAGCUAAGGAAUAAGCAUCGGCUAACUAC
Molecule: ribosomal RNA, 259 nt
Filed under: uncultured bacterium
Lineage: Bacteria
Description: partial 16S ribosomal RNA
Rfam family: Bacterial small subunit ribosomal RNA
Source: RNAcentral